AUUGAACGCUGGCGGCACGCCUUACACAUGCAAGUCGAACGGCAGCACGGGAGCAAUCCUGGUGGCGAGUGGCGAACGGGUGAGUAAUAUAUCGGAACGUGCCCAGUCGUGGGGGAUAACGUAGCGAAAGCUACGCUAAUACCGCAUACGAUCUAUGGAUGAAAGCGGGGGAUCGCAAGACCUCGCGCGAUUGGAGCGGCCGAUAUCAGAUUAGGUAGUUGGUGAGGUAAAGGACUCACCAAGCCGACGAUCUGUAGCUGGUCUGAGAGGACGACCAGCCACACUGGGACUGAGACACGGCCCAGACUCCUACGGGAGGCAGCAGUGGGGAAGUUUUAGGUACGAAAUAGGGCGGC
This 356-nucleotide ribosomal RNA is filed under the name uncultured bacterium. RNAcentral describes it as "bacterial SSU rRNA". It matches the Rfam family "Bacterial small subunit ribosomal RNA", at positions 30 to 387 of the family's 1533-position model. The record is from RNAcentral.